This 105-nucleotide non-coding RNA is filed under the name Cavia porcellus (domestic guinea pig). The record is from RNAcentral. Lineage: Eukaryota; Metazoa; Chordata; Mammalia; Rodentia; Caviidae.
GGCUGGUCUCAUGGCAGUGGGUUAUCAGAACUUAUUAACAUUAAUGUCACUAAAGUUGGUAUACCACCCCCCCACACACACACUAAUAAAUUUGACUGGCUUAAA